UACGUAGGGGGCUAGCGUUGUCCGGAAUCAUUGGGCGUAAAGAGCGUGUAGGCGGCCCGGUAAGUCCGCUGUGAAAGUCGGGGGGCUCAACCUCGGAUGCCGGUGGAUACUGUCGGGCUCGAGUACGGAAGAGGCGAGUGGAAUCCUGGUGUAGCGGUGAAAUGCGCAGAUAUCAGGAGGAACACCGUAGUGCAAGGCGG
This 200-nucleotide ribosomal RNA is filed under the name uncultured bacterium. RNAcentral's name for it is "partial 16S ribosomal RNA". It matches the Rfam family "Bacterial small subunit ribosomal RNA", at positions 524 to 724 of the family's 1533-position model. The record is from RNAcentral.